GACGAACUCUGGCGGCGUGCUUAACACAUGCAAGUCGAACGGAGUGGCGAACGGGUGAGUAACACGUGGGUGAUCUGCCUUUCACUUCGGGACAAGAUUGGGAAACUGGGUUUAAUACCCGUAAGUGAGAGAUUAGCUCGAGGCCUAUCAGCUUGUUGGUGGGGUAAUGGCUUACCAAGGCGUCAACGGUUAGCCGGCCUGAGAGGGUGAACGGCAACAUUGGGACUGAGAUACGGACCAGACUCCUACGGGAGGCAGCAGUGGGGAACAUUGCACAAUGAGCGGAAGCGUGAUGCGGCGACGCCGGGUGAGCAAUGAAGGCUUUCGGGUUGUAAACGCCUUUCGACAGGGACGCGGUACCUGUAUAAGAAGCACCGGCUAGCUACGUGCCAGCAGCCGCGGUAAUAC
RNAcentral lists this ribosomal RNA (408 nucleotides) under uncultured bacterium. RNAcentral describes it as "partial 16S ribosomal RNA". It matches the Rfam family "Bacterial small subunit ribosomal RNA", at positions 28 to 526 of the family's 1533-position model. The record is from RNAcentral.